CCUACGGGUGGCAGCAGUGGGGAAUAUUGCACAAUGGGCGAAAGCCUGAUGCAGCAACGCCGCGUGAGCGAUGAAGGCCUUCGGGUCGUUAAGCUCUGUCCUCAAGGGAGAUAAUGACGGUACUUGAGGAGGAAGCCCCGGCUAACUACGUGCCAGCAGCCGCGGUAAUACGUAGGGGGCUAGCGUUAUCCGGAAUUACUGGGCGUAAAGGGGGCGUAGGUGGUUUCUAAAGUCAGAGGUAAAAGGCUCGGGCUCAACCGGAGUAAGCCUUUGAAACUGGGAAACUUGAGUGGAGGAGAGGAAAGCGGAAUGCGUGGGGUAGCGGUGAAAUGCAUAGAUAUUAGGCAGAACACCAAUUGCGAAGGCGGCACUCUGGACUGUAACUGACACUGAGGCACGAAAGCGUGGGGAGCAAACAGGAUUAGAUACCCCUGUAGUC
RNAcentral lists this ribosomal RNA (439 nucleotides) under uncultured bacterium. Its description in RNAcentral is "partial 16S ribosomal RNA". It matches the Rfam family "Bacterial small subunit ribosomal RNA", at positions 338 to 795 of the family's 1533-position model. The record is from RNAcentral.